Lycium barbarum (goji berry) is the source of this 611-nucleotide long non-coding RNA. RefSeq lists it as uncharacterized. The record is from RefSeq and is a predicted model, not a curated record. The transcript has 3 exons. Lineage: Eukaryota; Viridiplantae; Streptophyta; Magnoliopsida; Solanales; Solanaceae.
AAAAAAAAAAAAGGAAUAAAGGGCAUGUGGGCCGCAGCCCUUAAAAAAAGAAAAAAAUGGGCCUCAGCCCAUUAUAACGUGAACAACAAGGGCAAAGGCUGAACAUAUGUUCUGCCAUCCACUUUGAAAGAAAAGAAAAUCAAAACAAAAACGUGGGUUCAGUCACUUUCAAGUGAAGAAACACAAAAGGAAUUCAAGCAUAGAUAAAUGAUAAGGAUAGGAGGACAAGAGAAAGAUUGAUCGAAGGAAGUGGUACGGAUUUGCGUGGUGACGAGUCUGGUAUUUCGACACGAGUACUAGACCGCAGGUGACGUUGGUGAGGAUUACGGUAACUAGAGAGCACGAGUUGAAAGUUCCCGGUGAGCCCCGCACUUGUCCGCGUGGGCCAAGAUUCUAUUAUCUAUGAUGGUCUUUUCUUUUGAAUUCUUAGAGUUGCUCCAUAGUCAUUUGAUUUAUUCCAUGAGUAUUCUUUAUUCAUUAUAGACUGGUGACUAGUAUUAGGCGUUUUUCCCGUAUUUCAGAGAUGUUUUAGUAUUAUUACGUUGAAAACGGGUUGAUUGAGGAUGAUUGCAUUUAGUUUGGUUGAGAUUGGAUAUUUUUGUUGUUGAUUU